RNAcentral lists this ribosomal RNA (403 nucleotides) under uncultured bacterium. Its description in RNAcentral is "bacterial SSU rRNA". It matches the Rfam family "Bacterial small subunit ribosomal RNA", at positions 355 to 775 of the family's 1533-position model. The record is from RNAcentral.
CCGGGAAUAUUAGUAAUGGGCGAAAGCCUGAACUAGCAACGCCGCGUGUGCGAAGAAGGCCUUCGGGUUGUAAAGCACUUUUUGAGAGGAUGGGGAAGGACGGUACUCUCAGAAUAAGUCUCGGCUAACUACGUGCCAGCAGCCGCGGUAACACGUAGGAGGCAAACGUUAUCCGGAUUUACUGGGCGUAAAGCGCGUGUAGGUGGUUUGGUAAGUAGGGCGUGAAAGCUCCUGGCUCAACUGGGAGAGGACGUUCUAAACUGCCAAGCUUGAGGAUGGUAGAGGGAGGCGGAAUUCCGGGUGUAGCGGUGGAAUGCGCAGAUAUCCGGAGGAACACCAGUGGCGAAGGCGGCCUCCUGGACCACUCCUGACACUCAGACGCGAAAGCUAGGGUAGCAAACGG